This 494-nucleotide ribosomal RNA is filed under the name uncultured bacterium. RNAcentral describes it as "partial 16S ribosomal RNA". It matches the Rfam family "Bacterial small subunit ribosomal RNA", at positions 28 to 507 of the family's 1533-position model. The record is from RNAcentral.
GACGAACGCUGGCGGCGCGCUUAACACAUGCAAGUCGAACGGAAAGGCCUGCUUUCCCUUGUGGAUUGCGGGUACUCGAGUGGCGAACGGGUGAGUAACACGUGAGUGAUCUGCCCCCAACUUGGGUAUAAGCCUGGGAAACUGGGUCUAAUUCCCGAUAGGACUGCAGGGUGGUGCCUGUGGUGGAAAACGAUUUUCUAGUGGUUGGGGAUGAGCUCGCGGCCUAUCAGCUUGUUGGUGGGGUAAUGGCCUACCAAGGCGGCGACGGGUAGCCGGCCUGAGAGGGUGGACGGCCACAUUGGGACUGAGAUACGGCCCAGACUCCUACGGGAGGCAGCAGUGGGGAAUAUUGCACAAUGGGCGGAAGCCUGAUGCAGCGACGCCGCGUGGGGGAUGACGGCCUUCGGGUUGUAAACUCCUUUCGACCGCGAGGAAGCCACCUGGUUGGAAGGGUGGUGACGGUAGUGGUAGAAGAAGCACCGGCUAACUACGUG